GGCAGUUCUCGGGUGACGCACCCCAGAAUCAAACUCCCUCCUCUCUGGUUCUGGGUGCGUCACUGGAGAACCACC
Non-coding RNA from Myotis lucifugus (little brown bat), 75 nucleotides. The record is from Rfam. NCBI's taxonomy places the organism in Eukaryota, Metazoa, Chordata, Mammalia, Chiroptera, Vespertilionidae.